Molecule: ribosomal RNA, 253 nt
Filed under: uncultured bacterium
Lineage: Bacteria
Description: partial 16S ribosomal RNA
Rfam family: Bacterial small subunit ribosomal RNA
Source: RNAcentral
UACGUAGGGAGCAAGCGUUGUCCGGAAUCAUUGGGCGUAAAGAGCGUGUAGGCGGUCCUGUAAGUCCGCUGUGAAAGUCAAGGGCUCAACCCUUGAAUGCCGGUGGAUACUGCAGGACUAGAGUCCGGAAGAGGCGAGUGGAAUUCCUGGUGUAGCGGUGAAAUGCGCAGAUAUCAGGAGGAACACCAAUGGCGAAGGCAGCUCGCUGGGACGGUACUGACGCUGAGACGCGAAAGCGUGGGGAGCAAACAGG